This 256-nucleotide ribosomal RNA is filed under the name Limosilactobacillus reuteri. RNAcentral describes it as "Lactobacillus reuteri partial 23S ribosomal RNA". It matches the Rfam family "Bacterial large subunit ribosomal RNA", at positions 1 to 251 of the family's 2925-position model. The record is from RNAcentral. Lineage: Bacteria; Bacillati; Bacillota; Bacilli; Lactobacillales; Lactobacillaceae.
UUAGGUUAAGUUAUGAAGGGCGCAUGGUGAAUGCCUUGGUACUAGGAGCCGAUGAAGGACGGGACUAACACCGAUAUGCUUCGGGGAGCGGUAAGUACGCUUUGAUCCGGAGAUUUCCGAAUGGGGAAACCUAAUCAGCUUAGUCGCUGAUUGCUUGACUAGUGAAUACAUAGCUAGCAAGAGGUAGACGCAGUGAACUGAAACAUCUUAGUAGCUGCAGGAAGAGAAAGAAAUAUCGAUUCCCUGAGUAGCGGCG